CGCGCCGUCAUUAGGGAGUAGCCGCCUCCGAGCCCCUCGGAGGGACCACGUCAACAAACUUGCCCAUCCGGGCAUGGCGUGUUCAGUCCUCGGACCUGGCGAGACUUUUGACCGCAUGCUCUCCGUUUGUUCGGGCCGGGGAGGCGUGCGGUCAUCGGUCAUGCGCCGGCCCGGAGAACC
RNAcentral lists this small RNA (180 nucleotides) under Azoarcus sp. RNAcentral describes it as "Manganese sequence". It matches the Rfam family "Manganese Mn2+ riboswitch aptamer (yybP-ykoY)". From Rfam's summary of the family: This RNA was originally discovered in E. coli during a large scale screen and was named SraF. The family was later found to exist upstream of related families of protein genes in many bacteria, including the the yybP and ykoK genes in B. subtilis. The record is from RNAcentral. Lineage: Bacteria; Pseudomonadati; Pseudomonadota; Betaproteobacteria; Rhodocyclales; Zoogloeaceae.